AUGAAUUGAAUUCUGUCGGGUUGUUGCUGGUCUUUAAAUGGACAUGUGCACGCUUGACUCAAUUUAUAAACCACUUGUGAACCAUUUGUAGACUUGGAUAACCGUCGAGUUCAACUCGGAUAGAAGGAUUGCGCUUAUUAGCUUUCUUUCAAUUUCCAAGUCUAUGUUUCUAUAUACUUGAUUAAUGAAUGUCAGUUGGCCUAUUAUAAUUUAAUA
This 216-nucleotide unclassified non-coding RNA is filed under the name uncultured Pseudocercospora. RNAcentral's name for it is "sequence contains ITS1". The record is from RNAcentral. Lineage: Eukaryota; Fungi; Ascomycota; Dothideomycetes; Mycosphaerellales; Mycosphaerellaceae.